RNAcentral lists this ribosomal RNA (460 nucleotides) under uncultured bacterium. RNAcentral's name for it is "partial 16S ribosomal RNA". It matches the Rfam family "Bacterial small subunit ribosomal RNA", at positions 338 to 795 of the family's 1533-position model. The record is from RNAcentral.
CCUACGGGCGGCAGCAGUGAGGAAUAUUGGUCAAUGGACUCAAGUCUGAACCAGCCAUGCCGCGUGCAGGAAGACGGCUCUAUGAGUUGUAAACUGCUUUUGUACGAGGGUAAACGCAGAUACGCGUAUCUUUCUGAAAGUAUCGUACGAAUAAGGAUCGGCUAAAUCCGUUCCAGCCGCCGAGGUAAUACGGAGGAUUCAAGCGUUAUCCGGAUUUAUUGGGGUUAAAGGGUUCGUAGGCGGUCGGAUAAGUUAGAGGUGAAAUCCCGAGGCUCAACUUCGGAAUUGCCGCUGAUACUGUUCGGCUAGAGAGUAGUUGCGGUAGGCGGAAUGUAUGGUGUAGCGGUGAAAUGCUUAGAGAUCAUACAGAACACCGAUUGCGAAGGCAGCUUACCAAGCUACUUCUGACGUUGAGGCACGAAAGCGUGGGGAGCAAACAGGAUUAGAUACCCCAGUAGUC